Molecule: ribosomal RNA, 722 nt
Filed under: uncultured bacterium
Lineage: Bacteria
Description: bacterial SSU rRNA
Rfam family: Bacterial small subunit ribosomal RNA
Source: RNAcentral
UAACACAUGCAAGUCGAACGGCAGCAUGGUCUAGCUUGCUAGGCUGAUGGCGAGUGGCGAACGGGUGAGUAACGCGUAGGAAUAUGCCUUAAAGUGGGGGACAACUUGGGGAAACUCAAGCUAAUACCGCAUAAUCUCCUUGGAGAAAAGCUAGGGACCUUCGGGCCUGGCGCUUUAAGAUUAGCCUGCGUCCGAUUAGCUAGUUGGUAGGGUAAAGGCCUACCAAGGCGACGAUUGGUAGCUGGUCUGAGAGGAUGGCCAGCCACACUGGAACUGAGACACGGUCCAGACUCCUACGGGAGGCAGCAGUGGGGAAUAUUGGACAAUGGGGGCAACCCUGAUCCAGCAAUGCCGCGUGUGUGAAGAAGGCCUGAGGGUUGUAAAGCACUUUCAGUGGGGAGGAGGGUUACUAGGUUAAGAGCCAGGUAAUUGGACGUUACCCACAGAAGAAGCACCGGCUAACUCCGUGCCAGCAGCCGCGGUAAUACGGAGGGUGCGAGCGUUAAUCGGAAUUACUGGGCGUAAAGGGUGCGUAGGUGGUUAAUUAAGUUAUCUGUGAAAUCCCCGGGCUCAACCUGGGCAGGUCAGAUAAUACUGGUUAACUCGAGUAUGGGAGAGGGUAGUGGAAUUUCCGGUGUAGCGGUGAAAUGCGUAGAGAUCGGAAGGAACACCAGUGGCGAAGGCGGCUACCUGGCCUAAUACUGACACUGAGGCACGAAAGC